This 436-nucleotide long non-coding RNA is filed under the name Androctonus crassicauda. Lineage: Eukaryota; Metazoa; Arthropoda; Arachnida; Scorpiones; Buthidae. The record is from RNAcentral.
CUAGUUCUUCGGAGUAUAAGUUCUUAGAUCUCGAGGCCUGGAGGACCCCAUGAUAAAUAUUUUCAAUGGGUGGGACCCGAGACUCGAACCCGGGUCCUCUAGAGUGGAAAGCCGAAGCAUUUUCACGCGGCCAAGUCGGCCGACUAUCCUGCGGAGGGAUUAGCCAGAUGGUGGAGGACGAGGACCGAUGGGCCGGGUCAGGACCCCAUAAUAAAUAUUUUCAAACGGUGGGACCCGAGACUCGAAUUCGGUCCUCCAGAGUGGAAAGCCGAAGCGUUUCCAUGCGGCCAAUCCGGCCGACUAUCCUGUGGAGGGAUUAGCCAGAUGGUUGAGGACGGCGAUCGGUGGACUGGGCCCGGACCCCAUGAUAAACAUUUUCAAGGGUGGGACCCGAGAUUCGAACCCGGGUCCUCCAGAGUGGAAAGCCGAAGCGUUU